CCCUUAGAUGUCCGGGGCUGCAUGCGCGCUACACUGAAGGAAUCAGCGUGCUAAAACCAUUGUCGAAAGGCAUUGGUAAACCCAUUAAAAUCCUACGUGAUUGGGAUCGGGAAUUGCAAUUAUUUCCCUUGAACGAGGAAUUCCCAGUAAGUGUGGGUCAUAAGCUCGCGUUGAUUACGUCCCUGCCCUUUGUACACACCGCCCGUCGCUGCCCGGGACUGAGCCGUUUCGAGAAAAGCGGGGACUGCUGCUGUCGGGGCUUUCGGGCCUUGGCUUCGGUGGAAACCGCUUUAAUCGCAGUGGCUUGAACCGGGCAAAAGUCGUAACA
This 328-nucleotide ribosomal RNA is filed under the name uncultured eukaryote. Its description in RNAcentral is "partial 18S ribosomal RNA". It matches the Rfam family "Eukaryotic small subunit ribosomal RNA", at positions 1470 to 1796 of the family's 1831-position model. The record is from RNAcentral.